UCUGUGGAGAAGGAACUGAUUAUUAGUAUAAUGGCAUGAAAGAGAGAAGAAUAGCAUUGACCCUGCAUAAAGAUAGCUCUCAAAUUUGGAAGCACUACAUUUCU
Molecule: small nuclear RNA, 104 nt
Filed under: Numida meleagris (helmeted guineafowl)
Lineage: Eukaryota; Metazoa; Chordata; Aves; Galliformes; Numididae
Source: RNAcentral